RNAcentral lists this ribosomal RNA (253 nucleotides) under uncultured bacterium. Its description in RNAcentral is "partial 16S ribosomal RNA". It matches the Rfam family "Bacterial small subunit ribosomal RNA", at positions 524 to 776 of the family's 1533-position model. The record is from RNAcentral.
UACGGAGGGUGCGAGCGUUGUCCGGAAUCACUGGGCGUAAAGGGCGCGUAGGCGGCCUGAUAAGUAGGGGGUGAAAUCCUGCGGCUUAACCGCAGGGCUGCCUUCUAAACUGUCGGGCUAGAGCACGGUAGAGGCAGAUGGAAUUCCCGGUGUAGCGGUGGAAUGCGUAGAGAUCGGGAAGAACAUCAGUGGCGAAGGCGGUCUGCUGGGCCGUUGCUGACGCUGAGGCGCGAAAGCUAGGGGAGCAAACGGG